Molecule: long non-coding RNA, 2732 nt
Filed under: Sparus aurata (gilthead seabream)
Lineage: Eukaryota; Metazoa; Chordata; Actinopteri; Spariformes; Sparidae
Description: lncRNA (ENSSAUG00010021553.1)
Source: RNAcentral
GAGCAGAUUUUGGUGCAGAAUGUCAGACUCCCAGCAAUUUUACCCAGGCAGCAGCAGCAGCAGCAGCAGCAGGUCUCAAACAUCAAUCCCUCAGGCCGGUCUACACACCUGCGAACCCUGUGGGACCUCCUGCCAGCAGAUGGCAGAAUCACAGGUACUAAGCUGCCUCAGGCCUUAAUGUCUGAACAAUAACUGAUUCCUCUGGAAAUAUAAAAUCAGUUGCUGCAGUCUGUAGUAGUACAGACUGUAGUUGUACAUGAAUGGUGUGUUCAAAUGAGAAAUGUUUAACCUGCGAUUGCUCAUAAUUUAUCUUAUGUGCAUAUGGUCAGUAUGACGCUACAACAGCAGCCAGUUAGCUUAUCUCAGCAUAAAGACUGCGAACGAGGGGAAACGGCUGGCCUGGCUCUCUCCGGAGCUAAGCAAUUCUGUCUAGUGGCACCUUUAAAGCUCACAUACACAUAACACAUAAUAUCUUGUUGCAGUGACUUGUGCUAGCAGGCAGAUUUUCUUACUUUUGGACAGAGCCAGGCUGGAUUUCUACCCUUGUUUCUAAUCUUUAUGUGAAGUUAAGAUAACCAACUGCUGGUUGUAACAUCUAAUUCCUCAGCGUAUUUCCUAAGCACUGGAGGUUUAUAACGUAUGGAGGUAUGUGAGUGUGAAAGGCUGAGACAGUUGUUUGUGUGGUAUGUUUACUAUGAGAGAAAGGAGAUUUUGUGGCCUCAGGGGAUUCACAAUUGGCAGUUCCUUGGCCUUGAUCCCAGCCCUGAUUGAAUUGUCAACGGUUAGCAUUCAUGGUAAAUGACAUGUGGAAUAAUUUGUAUUUACUGUUUUAAUGGUCAUAUCACAGGCAGAUGAAGGCAGGGAUGUCUGCUUCACCCAGCAUGAGAGCAACACGUUCAGCAUGAGGACCGCAGCUGUGAUCAAGAGGUACAGUGAUGAUGAGAACCUUUGUUCAGGGUCAGAAACAGCACCAGGACGAGGCCCCAGUGACUCUGACCCUUUCCAUUCGUACCAGCGACAGUUCAGUGAUGGGGCAGUGGCGGCUGCAGGUCAUCUCCAACAGUGCUCGUCGUCCCUCAGCUGUCUGCAGGAGACACACAGCCCUGACAAUGGUUCACACAGCUUCACUGGCGGAGCAACGACAUCCUGGGACCAGUACAACUGCAGCUUUCAGAGUUCGAACACAGAACCACCGACUGUGCCAGCAGAGCCCUCCUGCUUUCUGUCUCAAAGCUACCAAUCCUACGGCUCAUCGCGCCCUCUACAGCAGGUCUCAUCUAGACUGUACACCAACAAUGAGCAGCCCAACAGCUCAAAGUAUUCUUUAUCCACCAAGUCACAACAGGGGAGCACCACACCUUCACUCUUCCCCAAACCGAUUUACUCAUACAGCAUCUUGAUCUUCAUGGCUCUGAGAAACAGUAAAACUGGAAGCCUGCCGGUCAGCGAGAUCUACAGCUUCAUGACGGAACACUUCCCCUAUUUCAAGACAGCUCCUGAUGGAUGGAAGAACUCUGUGCGCCACAACCUCUCCCUGAACAAGUGCUUUGUGAAGGUGGAUAACAAAAAUGGGAACUCGUCCCGUAAAGGCUGCCUGUGGUCUCUCAAUCCGGCCAAGGUGGAGAAAAUGCAGGACGAGCUGCAUAAGUGGCGUCGCAAGGACCCCAUCAGCGUUCGCAGGAGCAUGGCAAAGCCAGAAUGCCUUGAUCGUCUGAUGGCAGAGAGACCAGAGAAGCACAGGUCUCUGCCACUUUACCCCACUCCAGCGUUGUUAUCCAGAGUGACUCCCAUCUACAGCACCAGCUCGUCAUUCUGCACCCCAUCCCAAGUUCAACCACCCUGCCCAUCCAUUAAUCAUCCACAGUAUGCCCAUUUUCAGCCUCAGCUGCCCUGCUACCAGCCUCCCAUGGCUGCUCACCCCAGCAAAUCCUUUGCCCUCUACUCACCCUGUGGUGAGCCAGCCGCUGCUGAGAGCCUGAGCUCACCCAUGGCUAGUAAGAUGCCACCUCCUUACAACCUGCAGGCUGAGUACACUGUUGGCCUGAGGAGCAUGCAGGACUUCAUGAAUGAGGGAGACACCGGUUAUGACAUCGACACGCUCAACCCCAGUCUGACGGACCUGCAGCUGCAAGGUAACUUAUGGGAGGAGUUAAGAAAGGACAGCCUGGUUUCGGAUCCACAGGUCACCACCACGACACUGUCCUCCGCCUCUGCCCUCCAGGAAGUCGAGAACAGCUACAUGCAGGUCUCACCUCCUCUUACUGGGCGACGGAAAUCGUGCGAGUAUGAGGACGAGGACAAGGACGAAAACACAGACAGAGGACAAAAUUUUGAGCAGAAUGGCUGCUUGAACGGGCUGCAUCCUGUGGUUUAUUCAGGAGUGGAGAGUUUGGCAGGGUAUCUGACCUCCUGCACCACGUCCAUCUCCUUAAUGUAAAGACCUGACUCUUUCACUUCCCCCGAGCCAUCCGAGAGAUCUGUAGUAACCAGAAUGGGGAGUGUUACUGCAGGCAACUUCAAGCCACAGUAUUAGAAUUAGCAAUCAGUAGCAUUAACUUUGAUGUAAAACAAAAAAACAAACAAAAAAAAAAAGUAUUCUUGUUGAAUAUUUUGUUUGCAUGUUUCAGCACACUUUUAAGCAUUACUUUUCCUGCAUUAUUUUACAUUUGCAACAGCAUCUGAUAUAUCUCAUUUUGAAUAAAGGAACGCUAUUAAUUUUGAUAAAAAAAGUA